UCAAAGGAUGCAGUCGGUCAGGCCGACUUCAGCAACAUAAGCCCCCCAUAAGCUGCUGUCCCACCGCCACAAUGCUCAGAAGAGGAGCAAAAUCAAUUGGACGUGUCCACUGAUGAAGAUCACGUAACAUUUUUAAAUGGACUUGAUGGUGCUGGCGUGCAGACGGCCUCACCUGGUCCCCUGAGCACCUCUGGUGAAGUGGGGCCGCUGCCCUUUCUGCCGCGGUGGAUUGGAGGAAUGUGGCAUGCAACACACACACACACACACACACACAGACAUAAACACACACGCUGAGAGGACCUCCCACCCCAGGACCGUAUACAGCCGAUAUGCACAGCGGCAUUUUUGAAGGCUUCCCACUCAAACAGGCAGCAGCAGUCUUCAUAUGGCCCUCCUUUUAUAUAGUCUGAAUGCA
This is a long non-coding RNA of Gasterosteus aculeatus aculeatus (three-spined stickleback), 415 nucleotides long. The record is from Ensembl. Lineage: Eukaryota; Metazoa; Chordata; Actinopteri; Perciformes; Gasterosteidae.